Molecule: RNA transcript, 1520 nt
Organism: Marmota monax (woodchuck)
Lineage: Eukaryota; Metazoa; Chordata; Mammalia; Rodentia; Sciuridae
Gene name: natural resistance-associated macrophage protein 2-like
Exons: 6
Source: RefSeq, a predicted model, not a curated record
UGGACUUAGGAACGAAGGAACAUCUAGCAAUGUUGAGAUUGAAAACCUCUAGAAUCAGUUCAAGACCUGGGCCUACCUUCUGGAACAGUGCCAGUGCUAGUAUAGGUGACUCUUGGCAAAGAGAAAUGUCACAGAGAAAUGGUGUUUUGGGUGUUUUCUAAGCAGAUGAUUGACACAGAAAUAUCUUCUCCCUUGCCUGUCCCAGGGUAUUGUGCUGGGAUGUUACUUCGGGGCACUCUGCAUCUGGGCAGUGGGGAUCUUGGCUGCUGGAUUGAGCUCCACCAUGACAGAAACCUAUUCUGGUCAGUUUGUCAUGGAGCUUCCCUUUGCUAUCAAACCUGGCCUCACAUUUACAAGCUUGCAGCCAAUAAUGAAGGACUUUCCCAAUGGAAAUGGAAUAUAGGCUGGAGCAUCGCCAGUGGGAUCUUAGUCCUCAUCUUAUCUUCCAUCAACAUGUACUUUGUAGUGGUUUAUGUCCAGGAACUAGGGAACAUGGUGUUGUAUGUCGUGGCGGCUGUGAUCAGUGUGGCUUAUCUGAGGUUUGUGUUCUACUUGUUUGGAUCUGGAAUGUCCCCCAAAGGAUCACGUGUUGGAGAUUUGGUUCCCAGUGCAGCAGUGUUCUGCAGUGUGGCUUUUGGGAAGUGGUUGAAUCAUGAAGGCUGUAACCUCAUCAAUGAAUUAGUCCACUGACGGAUUCACAGUACCACCUGGGAUUGACAGCUUGGCCUGAACUCUACCUUCUGAACACCGUGGAUACUGACUGGCUUGUGUCGAGAAGACUAACAGCCUAAGAACCACUUUCUCUAAGCUCUAUUGUGCCAAGUGUCUUAAUAUAUCUUUUUUAAUUUGAAGUGCUAACAGCUGGGGACCAAAUCUUCAACAUGUUGCCUUCAGGUGAUAUUCCAGAUCCAUACUAUAACACAUAAUUAUCUGACUGAAGAUCAGAAGAUAUGUCACACUGGACCCACACUCCUGCAUGGAAGUACACUUGGCUGGAACUGAAUGGCAGCUAUCUAUCUUUCUUCAAUGCCAUAUACUCCAGGGUGGCAUACACCCCAGCAUAUCACUCAUCAUUUCCUUAUGACUUCCAUUGGGAGCUGCCACAUAGGAGUGAGCAAGGACCCUUAGCCUUGAGCGAUGAAGGCGUGAGACUGGUUUCCCCUGUGUGCGGAAGCAAGUGGAUCUCACCUCCACUUGGCAGGGGAAUGAAGCUCUGGGAGUGGGUGUCACCCAAUGAGACUGGGUUACACUCCCUUGAAACCCAAUCCCUUGCCUCAUUUGGGUGGAACUUUCUCGAGUAUCUUUCUCAAUAAAAAGGGUCUCUCUCUUUCCAAUGGACCCCUGAGGUCGAGAGCUAUCCCAGAUUUUGAAAAUGUAUUUCUGUGCGCUUACGUGCUUUCUUCACCAUUUUCUCAGUUAUUGAUGUAGUCAUAUUUUGUGAACCCAGCAUAGGUCGCCAGUCUGGCUAGUUGGCAAUAGACUUCCAAGGUGCUGAGUCUGUAACCCUGUAUGACUUUGAA